Molecule: ribosomal RNA, 1484 nt
Filed under: uncultured Bordetella sp.
Lineage: Bacteria; Pseudomonadati; Pseudomonadota; Betaproteobacteria; Burkholderiales; Alcaligenaceae
Description: partial 16S-23S ribosomal RNA intergenic spacer
Rfam family: Bacterial small subunit ribosomal RNA
Source: RNAcentral
GGUUCGAUCCUGGCUCAGAUUGAACGCUGGCGGGAUGCUUUACACAUGCAAGUCGAACGGCAGCACGGACUUCGGUCUGGUGGCGAGUGGCGAACGGGUGAGUAAUGUAUCGGAACGUGCCUAGUAGGGGGAUAACUACGCGAAAGCGUAGCUAAUACCGCAUAUUGCCUUCGGGGGAAAGCGGGGACCUUCGGGCCUCGCACUAUUAGAGCGGCCGAUAUCGGAUUAGCUAGCUGGUGGGGUAACGGCUCACCAAGGCGACGAUCCGUAGCUGGUUUGAGAGGACGACCAGCCACACUGGGACUGAGACACGGCCCAGACUCCUACGGAGGCAGCAGUGGGGAAUUUUGGACAAUGGGGGAAAUCCCUGAUCCAGCCAUCUCAAGUGUGUGCGAUGAAGGCCUUCGCUUGUAAAGCACUUUGGCAGGAAAGAAACGGUACGGGAUAAUACCCCGUGCAACUGACGGUACCUGCAGAAUAAGCACCGGCUAAUCACGCUUGCAGCCGCGGUAAUACGUAGGGUGCAAGCGUUAAUCGGAAUUACUGGGCGUAAAGCGUGCGCAGGCGGUUCGAAAGAAAGAUGUGAAAUCCCAGAGCUUAACUUUGAACUGCAUUUUUAACUACCGAGCUAGAGUGUGUCAGAGGGAGGUGGAAUUCCCGCGUGUAGCAGUGAAAUGCGUAGAUAUGCGAGGAACACCGAUGGCGAAGGCAGCCUCCUGGGAUAACACUGACGCUCAUGCACGAAAGCGUGGGGAGCAAACAGGAUUAGAUACUCCUGGUAGUCCACGCUCUAAACGAUGUCAACUAGCUGUUGGGGCUCUCGGGCCUUGCAGCGCAGCUAACGCGUGAAGUUGACCGCCUGGGGAGUACGGUCGCAAGAUUAAAACUCAAAGGAAUUGACGGGGACUCCCGCACAAGCGUGGUGGAUGAUGUGGAUUAAUUGAUGCAACGCGAAAACCUUACCUACUCCUUGACAUGUCUGGAAUCCCGAAGAGAUUUGGGAGUGCUCGCAAGAGAACCGGAACACAGGUGCUGCAUGGUUGUCGUCAGCUCGUGUCGUGAGAUGUUGGGUUAAGUCCCGCAACGAGCGGCAACCCUUGUCAUUAGUUGCUACGAAAGGGCACUCUAAUGAGACUGCCGGUGACAAACCGGAGGAAGGUGGGGAUGACGUCAGUCCUCAUGGCCUCAGGGUAGGGCUUCAAGACGUUAUACAAUGUACCGACAGAGGGUCGCCAACCCGCGAGGGGGGAGCCAAUCCCAGAAACCCGAUCGUAGUCCGAUCGCAGUCUGCAACUCGACUGCGUGAAGUCGGAAUCGCUAGUAAUCGCGGAUCAGCAUGUCGCGGUGAAUACGUUCCCGGUCUUGAAGCACACCGCCCGUCACACCAUGGGAGUGGGUUUUACCAGAAGUAGUUAGCCUAACCGUAAGGGGAGGGCGAUUACCACGGUAGGAUUCAUGACUGGGGUGAAGUCGUAACAAGGUAA